Molecule: ribosomal RNA, 770 nt
Filed under: Actinomadura sp. 10-124
Lineage: Bacteria; Bacillati; Actinomycetota; Actinomycetes; Streptosporangiales; Thermomonosporaceae
Description: bacterial SSU rRNA
Rfam family: Bacterial small subunit ribosomal RNA
Source: RNAcentral
GGAAGGCCCCUUCGGGGGUACUCGAGCGGCGAACGGGUGAGUAACACGUGAGCAACCUGCCCCUGACUCUGGAAUAAGCCUGGGAAACCGGGUCUAAUACCGGAUAUGACUACUGCCCGCAUGGGUUGGUGGUGGAAAGUUUUUCGGUUGGGGAUGGGCUCGCGGCCUAUCAGCUUGUUGGUGGGGUGAUGGCCUACCAAGGCGACGACGGGUAACCGGCCUGAGAGGGCGACCGGUCACACUGGGACUGAGACACGGCCCAGACUCCUACGGGAGGCAGCAGUGGGGAAUAUUGCGCAAUGGGCGGAAGCCUGACGCAGCGACGCCGCGUGGGGGAUGACGGCCUUCGGGUUGUAAACCUCUUUCAGCACCGACGAAGCCUUUUGGGGUGACGGUAGGUGCAGAAGAAGCGCCGGCUAACUACGUGCCAGCAGCCGCGGUAAUACGUAGGGCGCAAGCGUUGUCCGGAAUUAUUGGGCGUAAAGAGCUCGUAGGCGGUUUGUCGCGUCUGUCGUGAAAGCCCACGGCUUAACCGUGGGUCUGCGGUGGAUACGGGCAGGCUAGAGGCAGGUAGGGGAGAACGGAAUUCCCGGUGUAGCGGUGAAAUGCGCAGAUAUCGGGAGGAACACCGGUGGCGAAGGCGGUUCUCUGGGCCUGUACUGACGCUGAGGAGCGAAAGCGUGGGGAGCGAACAGGAUUAGAUACCCUGGUAGUCCACGCCGUAAACGUUGGGCGCUAGGUGUGGGGUCCUUCCACGGAUUCCGCGCCGC